This 685-nucleotide ribosomal RNA is filed under the name Urocorthylus fanii. Its description in RNAcentral is "partial large subunit ribosomal RNA". It matches the Rfam family "Eukaryotic large subunit ribosomal RNA", at positions 406 to 834 of the family's 3401-position model. Lineage: Eukaryota; Metazoa; Arthropoda; Insecta; Coleoptera; Curculionidae. The record is from RNAcentral.
CGUUUAGGGGUAAACCUGAGAAACCCGAAAGGUCGAAGGGAGAAAUUCAUUCGCGUUUCGAGAUCGGCGAUGGACGGUCGAGUGACGGAAAUUCGGGUUCGCGCUCGUUUUUUCCGCUCCUUCCGUCUAUUUCGAACCGGUAACGAACGCGUGCACUUUUCUCCUGGUAGGACGUCGCGAUCCGUCGGGUGUCGGUCUACAGUUCGCGGUGGAGCCCGUUCGUCGUUCUCGCGAACGUACGAGCGGACCCGCGUAACUCGGCCGACUCGCUCGACGGUAUACGAAUGGUCGGAGGCCGCUCGUUUAGAAGCGUUCGACUCGUCGCAAGCGCGUUAGAUGUGUUGGCUCGCGGACCUAGUGCCGCGUCUGACCACUGGCGACUGUUGGCGACGAAGUUCUCGAACAGACCUCUAUCUAUAGACCGAUCUGCGACGCUAUAGCUUUGGGUAAUUUCAGGACCCGUCUUGAAACACGGACCAAGGAGUCUAGCAUGUACGCGAGUCAUUGGGAAUCACUAAACCUAAAGGCGUAAUGAAAGUAAAGGUCUUCCUAGCGAGGACCGAGGGAAGACGGGCGGUUUAGCCGUUAAAAGCAGCCGUCCCGCAUUCCCGGGGCGUCUCGUUCUCAUCGCGAGAAGAGGCGCACCAAGAGCGUACACGCUGGGACCCGAAAGAUGGUGAACUAU